AAUAAAUUUUUUCGUUCUGAAGAAGAGAAGGAGGUUCUCCUUCAGGAAAUUGCAAAGCUUACGGAGGAUUUCACGGGUGCAGAGUUGCAUAACAUACUGAAUGAAGCCGGAAUUUUGAUUGCCAGGAAGGACUUAGAUUUCAUCGGACAAGAAGAGCUUCUAGAGGCUUUGAAAAGGGUUGGUGGAGUUUUUACCCAUCCAGCUAUCCCUUUUUGGGCGAUAUUAUGCACUGUUGGCGUGACUUGUGGACUAUUGACUUACUUUUCUUACACACCAAGAAUUCCUAUUAUAAUUGUAAUUGAUUUACUUUAA
This is a non-coding RNA of Prunus avium (sweet cherry), 312 nucleotides long. The record is from RefSeq and is a predicted model, not a curated record. NCBI's taxonomy places the organism in Eukaryota, Viridiplantae, Streptophyta, Magnoliopsida, Rosales, Rosaceae.